UUUUUUUUUUUUUUUUUUCAUUCUACACUUGAACUUGACACCUAAUGUACAAUUUAACAUGGUUAGUGAUAACUUAAGUUUUUAAAAUACAUUCACCAACAUAACUAAAUUUAAGUUGAGAUAAUAACAAAUUUCCUAAAAGUUACACAUAAAACUUGGAAUGAUAAACAUAAUUAAAAUAUCAUAAUUCACCACAAGUUUUCAUAAAUUCAUUACAAAUAUGAAUAGAUACAAUCCAAAUAUUCACCAAUUAUCACAAAUAAAAACACAAAAAUAAAUAAAAUAAAUAUUGAAAUUCUUUUACAAUUCUUAAAAAAGUCCAUAAAAGAGUCUAACUCGUAUUCAAAACAAAUCAUUUGAAUAACAAAUUUCCAUCAAUGGCAUGAUAAGCAACAACACCACCUUCACAAUUUCAUCAACUUAACUUGAAAAAAUUAAAAUUUUAUUAUAAAAAUAUAAAUCUAAUUGCUCAAACUAAAAAGAAAUCAAAAAAUUUUAAAAAACAAAGAUACAACUAAACAUAUAAAAAAUUAAUUGGUACUAAACAUGUGGUCCUGAGGUUACCAUUUAGGAAUUUUCCAAGACAUACAAACAUGCGGUCCAUUUGGCACUUUUUUUUAAGCUUUUGUUUGACAACUUUCCCAAAUCAACUUUAACAUGUCUUUAAUUUUGUUGCUUUAGUGAAACCUAUAAAAUUCAAGAUGAAUGAGCAUUCAGUAGACUAAUUAGUUUAGCAUAGAAAAAGCAAUAAAAACACAAUAAAUGGCAUAGAAAAAAUAGAACAAUCAUUGAUACAAAAUUUAUUAAUUUGAUACUUCAUCCAUGUCUAAUUUCUUUAAUUUGAUACUUCAUCCAAAAAAAUAGCUUCUCCAAAUAUGAUUGGAAAUUAAUUAAUGAUUCAUAAUUUCAUCCUUAAUUAAUCAAAUAAAAAUAAAACAAAAAUUAGGGGAAACAGAUGAAAAUUGGAGAAAAAAAAGAAGAAAAUGCAAAAAAAAAAAUCGGCUAAAGAUAAUAAUAUAGAAAACAAAAACCUUGAAAAAGGAAAAAUUAAACUUACCAAGAUGAUGGAAAACAGGAAAAACUCUUGAGUCUCAAAUAUCCUGUGAAAGUUGAAAUUUCCAACUUGUCUACAAUCUGCAAAAGAUGAUAGUGAUAAAGGUGAAGGCUUGAGAAAAUUUUGUUGUGGAUAUUUGGGUUUGAAAGGGUUAAGAAGAAAAAAUUGAAAAAAAAAAUUCAAGAGGAGAACUGGAGCUGUUGGCCGCCUAAAGCUGAGAAAGUGAUAGAUUGAGACUUGAAAGAAAAGUGUGUUGACUGUUUCUUUUUUAAUGUUAGGGUUUGAUUUUUUUAAUUUAUAUUUUAGUCAAGUUAAGUAGAACUCUCAACAAACUAAGCUGUGGUCUAGUGGUGAAGAGUGCCUUAUGGGAACAAAAAGACUGAGGUUCAAACUUCCGUAGCUACAUUCUUGACAUUUUGUUUGAAAAUUAGAAAACCACGGGGUUACGGUUCGUGCGGUUUUUAGCAGUUCAUACGAUUCGACUGAUUUCUAGUAGUUUUUCAUUAACUUCCAGAUUUAAUACUGGACCGGACCGGUGAUAUGUCCGGUUCGCGAUCCAACCGAUUGAACCGGCCGAUCCGGUCUAGUUCUGAAAACAUUGAUGAAUAGAUGAAUAUACAAGGUUGCCCAGGACAUUCCCACGAGGACUUUCUUUAUUUGGGUCGACCUUUUGCACAUGCAAGUUUUCCUCUCCUAUGUGAGAGUUGUAUAUGUUUGUGUCUAUGUAUAUAGACAAACACACAUACAUAUACAUAUAUAUAUAUAUAUUAAAAUUUAUAAAAUAAUCCAAUAUUCUAUGUCAUUGUAAUCGAUACAAACUUUUUUAGGGAAAGGAAAACCGCCGGGUUACGAUUCAUGCGGUUUUUAGCGCUUCAUACGGUUCGACCGGUUUCUAGUGAUUUUUCAUUAACUUCCGGAUUUAAUACUGGAUUGGACCGGUGGUAUGUCCGAUUCACAGUCCAACCGGUCGAACCGACCGAUCCGGUCUGGUUCUAAAAACUUUGAUGAAUAGAUGAAUAUACAAGGUUGCCCAAGACAUUCUCAUGAGGGCUUUCUUUAUUUGGGUCGACCUUUUGCACAUGCAAGUUUUCCUCUGCUAUGUGAGAGUUGUAUAUGUUUGUGUCUAUAUCUCCUAUGUGAGAGUUGUAUAUGUUUGUGUCUAUAUAUAUAUAUAUAUAUAUAAACACACACAUAUACAUAUACAUAUACAUAUAUAUAUAUAUUAAAAUUUAUAAAAUAAUCCAAUAUUCUAUGUCAUUGUAAUUGAUACAAACUUUUUUAGGGAAAGGAAAAAAUGAAAAGCAAACAAAUGAAAGAUUGAAUGUACAUGUAGAUAAAACUUUGAAAAUAAGUAAUUUUAGUUGAUAAUAGUUCUUUUUUUGAGUUUAUAAUAUUGCAUUCAAAAUCUUGAAUGUUAAUUUUACCAUUUAAAAAUAAAAAAUAGAUGGUAUUUAUGCUAUUUUUGAAUUCUACUAGUUUUUCAGGCCCUGACGCCAUGCGUUAGAUAGCCUGGAUUGGUCUUUUUGCUGCUGUGGUAUAUUUUUUUGUUAGUGUUGUGUGCGUGCGUGUGUGUGUGUUUGUGUUUUUUUUUUUUUUUUUCACAUAGUUAACAGAUGUUUGGUUGGGUUGUACAAUGUGAAGUAUGACUGGGUAUAUAUAUAUAUAUAUAUAUAUAUAUAUAUAUUUUGGGAGGGGGCUUUAGCUAUCACUUCUUGCCUUCUUGGUACAAGCGUACGAUGCGUGCGAAGGUAAUAUGAAUUUACCUAACCCAAGGAUAUAAUGUGCAAUGUAUUAAGAAAAAUAUCAUUUAAAUAUAUUAUAUAAUGUGCACCGAAAUUUGCUUAAACCUGUGAUAUAAUGUAAACUUUCUACACCAAAAUUUAGCCCAGGAGAUUGAACCCAGGAGAUUGAGAGAUUUGCAUGUUUAUGUUUAAAACUAAAUCAUAAAUAUCACAUAGCAAUAAAAUGGGAACAGUUUAUAACAGCUAUAGUGAGCUUUUGUUUAAAAAAUGCUCAUUCUGCUCUGAUAGGAAAAGUGAUAGCUUGGUUAAAAAUGUAAGUAGAUAUGCUCUAGGCACAUAUGGUGAUGAGGAAUGGAACAAUCCUUGUGAUCUAACACUUUUGUAUAGCCUUUUAGGAGCCUUUGCUCACCAAAUGUAAAGCAUUAAAUCAUUAAUACAAUUCCUACCGUUUCUGAAAAAAUAUGUAUAUACAUAACAGCUAUAGUGGGCUAGCAUAUACUAUAUUAAUCUUGUACACAAAACUAAAGCAAAAGUAAACGGCAAUUAUAAUAGUAUAGCCAACCAAUUCAUUUAGGUUCAAAAUAAACGCUAAUGACUCCUGAGAAUUUUUCUCAAUCCAUCCAGCGUAAUUACACGAGCCUUUGGUGACGUUGAGUAUGUAAUCCAACUGAACUUUUGCAUUCUCUCUGUAUUCACAAACAAAAAAUAAAAUAUCAUUGACCAACUAAUCUUUUGUUACAGUUUACAAAAAAAAAAUAUUAUCAGGAAGCAUAAGUAAACAUCUUAUAACAAGAUUGGCUGUGAAUCAAUCAGUUGACCAUAGAACAAGAUGGAGGAAGUUAAGAAUGUAGCAACUACUUAAUGUCUCAUAGCACAAGAAUGUAGCAAACAUGGACAGGGGGGGUGUCAAAGCAAUUUCUUAUGAGGGACAUGUAGACUACUUUGGCAUCCACUACAGACGAAAAAAGCUUUGAAAGAGCAAAGCAUGCACAUAAUCCUGUAGAAUUGAAAGAGCUGUGAGAUGAACAGACAUUCAAGCUGAAUGUAGUACCUUGUCAAAAUAUGGCUGAAACUUGCCUCUGCAGAAAUUAGAUAGUGUCCACGUGGCAUUUCGCAACAAUGAUAGUUUGCAUGCUCAUUUAGCUAAGCCAACAAAGGACCUAGAGCUCCAUGACCAGGAACAAGAUCACGGCAUUUUGGGGAAUCACCAACCACGUUUCACGGAGCCCAUACAGCCUAAUGUAGUUAAAAGAAAAUUAAGGAAUAAGAGAUAAAUAACAAUAAAAUUCAAUUAUAUCAUGCAACAUUCAAAAUCCAGAAAGCAAUGCAAGGCAUUGAACAUGAUUCCAAACACCAGAAGAGGAAAUUUCUUUAUCAUCCAUCAAAGAUGUACCUGUUCACGGGCAUCAUUGCUGGGAGAACUAAGAAGCUGUGCGAAUAUGGGAACAACACCAUUGUCUAUUACAACCUUAGUGUGCAUAGAUGUCCCGGAAGCAAUGUUUGUGAGAGCCCAAGCUGCCUCAAACUACAAAUUUGCAAAGGAUGGAAAAAGACAUUUAUACGUAACACCAAACAAAUAUAAUCUUCAUUUUGUACGCAGGAUGGGGAAUAAUGAGCUUGAAGCUGAAGUUGAGGAAAUCCUCCGUAAUAAGAUAAUGAACAAAACGAGGGACAACACCAGCUUGGAUCACUUCCUGAAUCGGCGGACUUUGUUCAGGUAUCAGGAUUAAUAGCAAUACCUAUAUAUGCUAUAUCCCCUUUUGUAUUGAGAAAGAUUUUUCCAUGAAGACCUGAGUGUACAAAGUGAAACCAACAGAGAAGUAAUUAGGAAGUUCAGCUAGUUAUCUAUCAAAAUUUGAACAAAGGAAAAUGCCCUAUAAUAAAUGUUCCGUAUGGUCUCCCAGCAACACUAUAGAUACAUUCCCAUAUUUCAAUAGACAGACUUCCCACAAAUAUCAAUAGCUAGAUAGAGACAAAAAAGCAUUCCAGAAAGGAUGAUACUAUGAAUGUAACUUGUACCUCAUCUGAGGAGUUUGAGCGAAGCCACUAUUGAGCUGAAUAACACCCCACUUGGAAGUAUCGAAGAUACUGGAGAUGAGUUUUACUUAAAUUCUUAGAUAAUACAAGAAAUUUGUUAGGAACCUUAAAACUAAGUAAACCGUAAUUCUAGUGAUCAAAAUUGAAAAAAAUUAGGCCAAACCCAUGACUGAAGCUUUCUAUUAAAUCAUAUUGAAAAGAAUAAAAAAAAACUGGAAAUAAAAUAAAUAAUCCAGACAUAACAAAGGUCACGGUACAAAUCAAUUUCAUCCCUAAACAAUAAGACGGCUAUUAAGUUUAAUCAACUGUAGCUAUGGUUGGGUUUCAAACUUGGCAAAAUUUUUAGGACAAAAAACAGGCUAGGAAGGAAAUAAGCUAAAGCCUCAAAAAUUAACUUCACCUAGUGCCAGAAAAAUAUUUUUACCCACCUUCAAGCAGCUCUCAUAAGAGAGGAUUGGCAGAGGGUUUGGAAAAGUGUGUAGAGCAACUUAGAGAGAGCAGCAAGAAAAAGCAAAGCUAUCCGGUUGAUUCUUUCAUGCGCGCCUUGAGAGUGUUCAACUGGAAUGCGUCAUCUCUCAGUAGGUGAUUGAAAGGGCGGCGAUGUGUAGGAUGAAGCAGAGACGGAGAGAUGGAGAAAACCGAGCAAUUGUAUCAGUGAACUUCGAUGGUGAGAGAACAGGGCACAACUCAGUAUAACGAAAAGAGAAAAUUGCUGACCGAGAAUGAGAGAAAAUUGCUGACCGCCACUGGCCAGAGAAAGCUAAGAAGAAGAAUGAGGAAUUGAAGCGGUGCUCCCAAAACCAAGAACAGGCCAAGAAUGAGAAAAAAAGCAUGAGAGCCACGCGGAUGAGAAGAAAGGAAUGAGAGCCACGCAGACACACGGGAAAUUCCAGCGCAGCCACUACCACCGAAUGACAAAGGACCAAAACGCUCCUCAAAGCCACAAAAAUAUGACCAAAACACCCCUCAAAGCCACGAGAAUCACGCGAUAACCGGCUCAUCCUGCACUAUUCAUUAGGCUUUGCACGCUUUAUAUACGUAAGAUAAGAUAUAUUUUCAAAAUAUUUUUAUUUUAGUUCUUCAUUUUAUGUUUAGAAAAAAAAAUAUGUUCAAAAUACUUUUGUUUUGGUUCUUCAUUGUAUGUUCAAAAUAUAUUUGUACGCCCUAUACUCAUAAGGUGUGCCUCUUCCACUAAUAAGAAAUAGGUAUGUCAAUUGGUCGACUUUUACAAUAUACUUUGGUAGGAUUUUAUUUUAAUUUGUCAAAUCUAAAUCCAGACCCUAUAAGAGAGUGAUGAGUCUAGGUAAGAUUUGAUUUUCUAUAAUUUAAACCAAAAUUUAGAUCCAGAUCAGACUCUAUUCAGAUUCAUGUAUAAAUAAAUUAUGUGUGUGUAUAUAUAUAUAUUAGUAAAUUCAUAAAAUAAUCUAAUAUUCUAUAUCAUUUAGAUGAAACUUUGAGAAUAAAUAGUUUUAGUUUAUAAUAGUUCUUUUUUGAGUCUAUAAUAUUGCAUUCAACAUCUUGAAUGUUAAUUUUACUAUUUGAAAAUAAAAUUUAAAUGGCAUUUAUGUUAUUUUUUAACUCUAUAUAUUUUCAAAAUAUUUUUAUUUUAGUUCUUAUUGUAUGUUCAAAAAAAUAUUCACAGGUACCAAUUGGAUACUCAAAUUCAUAAGGGUCUGAGUUUUAAUUUACUUUUUCAAACCCACAAAGAUCUGAGUAUAAAUCAGGAUCUAGAUCUGAGUUUGACUAAAUUUAAUGGGUCUAAAUUUCGGUCAAAGAUAUCCAAUUCAAACCUUAUCCAUUGAUAUAUCUUAUAAGCAGUGUUUUCAAACUCAAAUCGGACUAAUUGGUUCAACCGAUUGAACCGAGAAUUGGGAAGGAUUCUGGUCCGAAAGUAUAUGAAAAACCGGCUAUCCAAAGAUUCGAUAAAAAAUGAGGUUUAACCGGUAGAAGCUGAAAAAACUGGUUCUUAAAAAUCCUUUAUCUUGUGUUUCUCCCAAAAAAAAAGAAACCUUCUUUUCUCCAAAAUUUCAAGCCAUUCAACAUCUGGUAGGGAAGAGGCCAAGGUGGUGAAGUUGCUAUCAUUUUCAAAUCUGAGCACCUAAACAAUGCUUAAAAAGAAAAAUAGAAGGAGAAGACGAAGAAAAAGAGAACAUCCAGUGACAUGGAUCCAAACUAAAUUAAUAAAAAGAGCACAUUCAGCGACAUGGCACAGCUAGGCAUGGCGAAUCUGUACUUGAUCUCAUCUCAUAUUGAGUCAGCUAGUUGUUUUGACUUUUGCCUCCAUGAUUGUAGGUUGAGGCAAUGGACGCUUGCGUUGUUGGUGAUUCUGGAUCAUGCCCUUGCUCAACUGACAGAGUAUGACAGCUUGAAGAAGUCCACAACUUGAGAAUUAGAGAUGAACGCUCAAAGUUUCAUAGUACUUCACUUUUACCCCAAAUGUUUUGGAUAGUCAUAAUUUUUGCCAUAACGUUCUCUAUUAUUUGUUUGCAACCUUAAUUCGGUAUCUGACUUCAAGUAAGUUAUAAGGAUUUAAUUUGUGCGGCUUUAUUAUUUGUAUUAUUUGUAAACUCACCAAGUAUAUCAAGUCUAGAGAUAUUUAUUUUGUACUAUUUUAUUUUUAUAUAUCAUUAAAUACAUUUAUGGCAUCAUUAUAAUUUAUGAUAUCAAAAACAUAUUUUUAAUCCACCUUUUUAUAUUUCGAAUCAAUUUUUUAUGUCAUGUAUAUCAUAUCACAAAAAAAUAUUAAUAUAAUAUUCCCUUCAUUCCAUUAAAAGUGUCGUACUUUUCAUUUUGAGAUGUCCUAAAAUAUUUGUCAUGUUGAAAAAGUUAAUGCACAUUUUAGUCUCUCUUUCUAAUAGAGUUUUUCUUUCUAAUCAUAUGCAUGUUAUUAUUCAAUUUGAAUUUUAAAUUUUGAGGAUAAAAUUAAAAAAAGAAAUAUAAAUAUUACAAUCAAAUUACUAUUUUUAAAAGAUUAAAUGUUCUAAAUAUGACUAAUUAAUUAGAACGAAGAGAAUAGUAAUUAUUUUAAAUAAUAUUCUAUCGAACUAUUCACGUAGCAAAUAAGUAAUAACCAUAAUCACUAAAAAAAAAAAAAAUACGGAUGUACUUUUAAUUGACCAGAAACAAAAGCACGAAAUGCAGAGCAGAGAGGAGGGGGUUGACCAAAAAGAGCGAAGUUGGGCCAUUAGAUGAUGAAUAAUGCAUUAAUGAUGGGGGCUGGAGCUUCUUCCGCCGCCGCCGCCCCUGCUGCUGCUGCUGCUAUUUACUACAGUGAAGACAUUAGGUAUUCGUUCAACACCCUUGAGCCAUUGAAUCUCUUCAGCGGAAACAGCAAACAGGUGCUCUUUCUUUUUGCCCUUUAUUGCUUUAGGAAAUUAGUUUUUAGCUGAAAUCUCUUUAGCAAAUUAGAUCGUCUUGUUCCAGAUCAUCUUCCAUUUGGUGUGAUAACAUUAUUAUUAAAUACUGGAGAAGGCUGUUGAAACCACCCCAGAUGAUCAUGAUGAUGGUGAUGGUGAUGGUGAUGAUAGUCAAGUUAAUAGAAUCAGUGCCAUUCCGGACGAACUUCUUUCCCACAUCUUAUCAUUUCUACCAACAAGAGAAUCAGCGGUUACCUCACUUUUGUCCACUCGAUGGAGACACCUUUUUGCUUCACGCCCUGAGAUCGAUCUCGAAUUCCAUCCCGAACGUAACCAUUCUGACCCUGAGAUCGAUCUCGAAUUCCAUCCUGAACCUGAACGUACCCAUUCUGACGCUGAUAUCGAUCUCGGAUUCCAUCCUGAACGUAACCGUAACCAAGCUGAUAAGCUGUUUUCUGAGUUCGUAAAUUUUGGCAAUAGACUAAUUUUGCUACGAAACAGGGCUCCAUUAAGGAAAUUUAAGCUCUCCCUUAUGAGGGUUGUGGAAAGCUAUCGUGGGGCACUCGAUUCACUGAUAUCUGCUGCACUUUUGUGUCAACUUCAAGAACUCGAAAUUUCUGUGGACAACCGGAGUAGUUAUAGGGAACGAUUAUCACCGGAGGGAAUAUUCACCUGCAAAACACUGACUUCCUUGAGACUAGUGUGGCGCCGUGUGGAUUUCAAAGUCCCCAGUCCAGUUUGUUUGCCUAAUGUUAAGCUCUUGUGCUUGAUAGGACCGAUGUUUCAAUUAGGAGAUCAUGAUGAUUCCCUGCAGAGGCUUAUCCAGGGUUGUCCUUUGCUUCAAGAACUAGAGCUGCAUUGUGCACUGGGGGAUUUGGAUCAAAUUUUUGCUGAGGAUGCAUGUAUGCAAAUUGAAAUUCGUGAUAUUUCUAGUCCUUUCCUGAAGAAAGUAGUGCUGCAUUUAGAUGGAGGUCUGGAUACUAAGGUUGUAGUGGAGUCGAACAAUCUUGAGAGUUUGGAAUACCAUUUCGUAGGUGCGGAGUAUAAGAUAAGCAUAAAUGCUCCAAAUCUUAAAUACCUUGGUUGUGGAGGCGACAUAAAUGGAGUAAGCUUUAUUCAAGACCUGAAUUCUCUUGUUAGUGCCAAAAUUGGCUCCCUCCUUGAAAUCCCUAAUUCUGAGAUUUUUUACAAUCUUGUCAACCAGGUGAAAAGUGUGGAAUCACUUACUCUAAUACAGCCCAAGGUUCUAACGGUAUGAUUUUUGUUUUGAACUUUAAUAUUUCUCUCCGACUUUGAAAGCUUUUCCUUCCUUUUGAGUUGUCUUAAGAGUAAUUGGACGAUCAUACUUCCAAGUUCGUACGUGAGUUUUGAUUAUUUUUCUCAUGCACAUGAAGGUCGAUAUUUCCAAUUAUGUGAUGCCAACUUUCAGCAAUUUGAUCAGCCUGGAGUUCAUUCUCCUCAAUUACCAUGCUGUUGAAUCCUGGAAACUCAUGCCAAUCUUAAUUAAAAGUGCCCCUCACCUCGAAAAGCUAGUCUUCGGUCGAAAGAUGUUUCGCGCUGAGCGUGUGGAAAAAGAAUUUGAGCUUCUAUUUCCAGAAUUCAUGCCGAAAUACUCCAUUGAACAUCUCAAGGAAAUAGAAUUCACAAAAUUUGACGAGAAGCGCUAUGAAUUCAAGCUAGUUGAGUAUCUUUUGCAAAAUGGAAAAGCUUUGAAGAAGAUGGUGCUACGUGGAUCUUUGCAACCCUCUAGCUAUGAUAGAAUAAUGUCAUACAUGAGAUGCUCAGAGGAUUGUCAAAUUGUGGUAGAAGAACGUGGUUCAGAGGAAAUCUGGUGGAUGCUAACAGUUGACUUAUAAAUGAUAUCUGUUUCAGUCAUGCAGGGAAGUCGUGGGAAAAUGAAGUAACAAAAUCAUCUGCUAUGUACAUUUGCUUUUUGUUGUAUGCAUAAAGGAUCAGAAUUCCCUGUUGUUCAUGUCUUUUGUUGCUUGAAUUGAUUUGUUCUUUUUACUACGAAGGAGUGGAUUUGGGAUGGGAAUUUGCAGGAGUGGAGGUGUUCAGCUGAUGCUUUUCAUGCAAAAGUUAGAUAUGCAUGCAUAUUAUGAUGAUGUAGAAGUUGUCAGGUAAGUCAAUGGAAGGGCUUCUACACCUCUCAAAAGAUCACUGCGUGAAUCGUACAAUGAAGGAAAACAGAUAUGAAACUGCUAAUCUUGCUAAUUGACUAAAAUGAACAUCAAAAAUUAUAUGGAAAACAUUUCAAUGAUGGAAAGCAGCACGAGUAAAAACCAUUAUACCUAUGCAAUAUUCAGAAACAUGCCGCUACUAAUAUUGCAGCAUGAACCAGUUUCAACCAGUGAAUGUACAUACAAUACCCAUAUAUCGAUGCCUGAGUUCGUACUUACCGCUGUUUAUUGGAUGAAAAAGCACAGCUGAGAAUAGACCUAAGAGAUUAGCACGCUGCAACACAGAUUACCAGCAAUGUCUUGGACAAACCUACACAAUGUAACAGCCUUUUAAUUUCUAUAUAUGCACCCAUCUAGCAAACUAGGUGUGGUUUAGGCAAACUUCAGAUACUACUUCCUCGAUUAUAAGCAUAGGACCUUGCAAAAUAUACAUAAGCAGCUAAUGCAAUAGCGCUAAGUCCGGCAAGCAGCCAGUAAAAGUAAUCCAGGUGUGCCUUGUUCAAGUUGUCUGAGAACCAGCUCUCGUGUCCAUGCCUGCUUGUGGCUUUCUCAAUAACAGAGAUGAGAAAGCUGCUUAGAAAACUUCCUAUCCCUAAGAUACUGAGGUAUAGAGCCAGACCUGUGCUUUUCAAUUGAUUCGGCAUUUGAUCGUAGAAAAGUUCUUGCAAACCAACCAUGGAAAGUGCUUCAGAAACUCCAUAAAUCAAAUACUGAGGUAUCAACCAGACCACACUCAUGGGAAUCGUAGCCUUUGGCUUAUCAACCAAACCGUACUCUUGAGCAGUUUCAAGACGCUUCAUCUCUACUAGAGCAGCUAUGACCAUUGAAAGAAUCGAGGUAAAUAUCCCAGCUCCAAUCCGUUGGAGCAUAGUUAUACCUGAAGGUUUUGUGGUUAUAGCUCUUGCAGUAGGAACCAAAAUACGAUCAUAUAUAGGGAUAAACAGAAUUAUCGAAAGAGUGAUAAAUGAUCGUAGUGAAGCGGCUGGUACUUCAAAGCUUGGACUGAUAGAUCUGUCCAUUGUACCUCCUUGCUUGAUAAACAAAGUGGAUGACUGUGAAAAUACAAUCCCAUAUGUCAAACAUGUUGCCCAUAUCGGAAAUAGCCUGAGAAUUGCCUUUGCAUCCUCAACCUCGCUGAUGCUACAAAUGUUCCCAUCUUCCUCUGAACCAUCAGGUACUAGCAAUGCUUUGUUCAGAAACCUACGUCGAUUGCAAUAAAAAAAAAAACUAAAACAUUUAAAGGAAGAAAAUUUGGUUUGAGAUUUGUUAUCAUAAAGAUCAAGGAUACAGUUCAAGAAGUCAGUGAAGCAUGAUCUAGCAACAUUAUCCCAUUCAAACAAGUUCAUUAAUUUGCAAAGUGGAAACAACCUUACACAUUUUUCUAUUUGCCAAUCUUUGGAAAACACAAGAAAUUAGCAACCAGAUCGCAGGGGAGAGGAGGAAGGGAGGGGAUGGGAGAGGAGGAAGGAGGAGGAGGGAGGAAGAAGAAGGAGGAGGGGGGAGGGUGGUGGCAACGGUGAAGGAGGGAGGGGUCGUGGCGGCAACGGAUGGUGAUGGAUGAGGUGGUGAGUGGUUGUGAUAAAAAAAUUUUUAAUAAAAUUUUUAAAAAUAUUCCAAUUAAAUUUUAAAUUUUAAAAACACCCCAAAUACAUUUACAUUUACAGUGUCAAGUUUUUAUAUACAUCGUUACAGAAAAAGUUUUUAACAAUACUCCCCAAAAACACCAAACUCGUACGGCCAAGGACAUGAAAUUAAAGUCUUAGUUACUAAAAGCUUAGAAUAGGUUGGUUUCUCACUUGAAUUCUUGAGGACCUUGGUAAGGCACACAGCCCUGAGACUCCAGUUGCAUGGAUAAUGUUGAAGAGGUGGCUCUCCAAUUUCUAGCUGCAUUCACAAAUACUCGACCAAUUCUCAUAAAAGGGCUCUUCUCCUCACUAUUGACGCUAAACCGGUAGGUGACAGUUCCGAGCAAGAACAAGAUAAGUCCAAAACCCAUUACAAGGCAGGGAAUCGCAAAUCCAAGGCUCCAACUUAAAUUAUCUUGAAUGUAGGUUAAAAUCACUAAUGCGACCAAAAUAGCCGAGCACAUACCAAAAUACCACCAGUUGAAAAACGAGCUUUUGGCUUUGCAUUCUUCUGGAUCUUGUCCAUCAAAUUGGUCGGCUCCAAAAGCUUGUACGCAAGGCUUAUGCCCUCCUUGGGCCACAGCUAUUAGAUACAAUGAAAAGAAGCAGAAAAUGAUUGGGAAUUCAGAAGGUGAACAUGUCACAGCGUUUUCUGCAUUUUGACACCCAGAUGAGUUGAAAGAGGGAAGAACUGUUGAAAGGGUCAAGAAGCCAAGUCCCUGUGAUUCACAGCAAUGCAUGGCUUAAGAAAUUGUUAUCAAAAGAAAGUAAGGCAUUGUUUGGACAGCAAUUUUUCAAUACGUUUUCCGUGAACACAUUUUUCAAUCAUCUCUUUACCUCGCAUAUAUCAAAUUGCUACAGUAAUUUUUCUACAAAAAUUCAGAAAAAUGAAAUUCAAACAAGGCCUAAGUUUUUGUUUGAGUAAUGGCCAUUUCUCUUGAUUAAGUCAAAUAUUUGAAACUGUAGCAUGAAGUUCACUUCAUAAUUUUUCUGUUCUUCAGUUAGUUCUCCUUUCAAUUGUUAUCUUUUUUAUCUUGAGAUUUGAAGGAUCAUCGUCUUACAUCAGAAUUAAGCUCGUUUAUUAAUUCUACCACUAAUAUGGAAUUAUGUGGCUAUAUUUAACCCAUGGACUUAUUCUUAUUCAUAGUUGAAACAUCAGCUAGGCUGAAAGAUCUAGAGCAUUAUAACAUCAAAACAAAAUCAGAAGUUAAGGAACAGCAUAAGGAUCGUCAAAGAGGCUAAAACCAUCGAAUAGUUUCCGGUAGGAAAAAUCUAUUUAUCCAAACUCUUCACUUUAUCUUGUCAUACUCGUGUUCUACUCUUCAUUUUGCACUAGAAUAAUAGUAUAGAUAGCACUCCCAUAGAUGAGUGCGAGAAAUAAAGGAGGAAAUAUGUUCACUUCUCCGAAAAUGCUACAAAUGGCUCCAAUUGUUUAGCUUCUUUUGUUAGCUAUUCUGUUUAUGUUCAUAAUUGUUCAACAGAUUACCCUUCUUUUUUCCCCUUUUUGAGCAAAAAUCAACCUUUUAUAAAAUAGAGCAAGAAAGCUUACACAUUGCAGCAAUGAGCAGCCUUUACAUCCUACUGUCACCCAUACCUAUAUAUACAAAGAACUACAAAAAUCUACAAAACACCUAUGUACUCGUGAGCAAAAUACUUGUGUGUAAUCCCCCAAUCCUUGAUGAAGCUCCAAUUUACUCUUGACCUCGGAAUUCCGCGCCAAGUAGCACCAACAUAUCUCACUUCAGUAACUAUACUCCUUAUAAUACGUAAUACCAAGGGGAGUAACGUAGGCUUGCUGGAACAUCACCUUAUUUAGUUAUUUCUACUAUAAGCAUGGUAGUCAACAAGCUUAUGCUUGACUACAUUCACCUCCCCUUCUUGGAUGUGCUUACUAUUAUCUAAUUCAAACAAACCCUCUCCCUCAUCUACCUCCUCUCCUCUCCACACACACACACACACACAACCCCCCCCCCCCCAAAAAAGAAAGAAAAUACAUCUGAGUUUUUAAAGAAAUAGAUGUCAUAAAACCAAGCUUGAACCCCUCCAGUCCAUUUGGCCCACAUACCCAUCAAACUAAUGGUUAAAAAAAAAAAAAAAAAAAACCGUAGUGGUGCCGAAAGACUUAUUUUAACUCUAGCUUUGUCCUUCUCAAAAUGCAGUGUACAAAAUGCAAAAAUGUCUAAUUCUUUUAUAUAAUAUGUAAUGUAUUAUAUUAUUAAUUGAUAGUUAGCAUAAAGUGACUAAUCUUAAGAAAUCUAGUGUGGCCAAUAAAAUUUGUCAAACUAACCAAAGUUAGCUAGUGAAUUCACUUAUAUAUGUUUCCUUGAAAAGCAAAAAUUAGAAUUAGCAUUUUCACUUAUUUUAUUGGCUAGCUGAAUAACUAAUGUUAGUGUUUCACGAAAUCAUAUGCAUAAUUUGUGAGUAUUAAAUUGCAGUGUACGUAUUUAAUAUCCAAAAUAAGCUACAUAAUUACAAAUCAUCCAAGAGUGAGUUGAUAAAUCAAUCAAAUAAAAGAGUAGUAGUACAAGAUAAAUCAAAUUUAGUAAAGAAAGAAAUAUUCUAAGUUUAUUUUUCUUUAUUCUUCUUUUCUCAUAAUUAGCUCUUUUCACUCUUAAACACAUUCAACUAAUUGGCUAUCCCUUCCGUAUUAGUCUCAAUCUAAUAUGGUAUUAGAUGUCGUUUUAAGCAAGUAUUAUCUUCUUUCUUAUUUUUUUCGAUUUUGCUUCAAUUGUUUCUCAUUAUACAUGGAUUUUGGUUAAUUUAAAGUUUAGCGAGUACCCCUAAUUAUUUUAUUUGAGGGGAUGCAAUACGUAAGUUUUGUCGUUUGAGGGGCACAAACUAUUAAACUAUAAUUAAAGUAAGAUACAAUUAGUAAUAAUUUUAAACUACAAAAGAGGAUUUUAAAUAUUUGCGGAGAACAAUUGUCCACCGUAAAAUGUUUAUAGCUCCACGAUUAUAAUUGGGAAAACUUUGCUGUGGCACGAUAUGACAGGUGCUGUCAUGCUGUGACAACAUAUCAAUUGACACGACGUACAGCAUAGAAAAUCCGAGCAUCUUUUCAAGCUCAUUAAGAGUUGAAAAAUCGCAUCCCAAAUAAGAGUAAAGUAAAGAAGGCGCCUUCCAAAGAUAGAGCACAAAGUAUAACUAUAGAGUUACUGUUAAACAGCAGUAGAAAGUUCAAGUUCAACUAACCAUGAUAUACAGCAAUGAAGAGAUUAUGACGGUCCAAUAUUGACCCAGAAACGACUCGGCGACGAAUGCACCCAAGAGCGGCAGAAGCAGCGCUGUACCGGACAAAGCAUUCACGUUCUCCGCUGCCGUAGCAGUGGACUGGCCGAGUGGCCCGGUCAAGUAACUGAUCAAAUUCGCACUUAUUCCGUGAUGAGCAAACCUCUCUGCCAUCUCCACACCUGCAUUAAAAACAAAUAAUUAACCUGCAGUAUUUCAUUUUAUCAUAGUACGGUGAGGAUGUUAAUCCUUUAUGUUAUGAUGGUUACUUCACCUAUGAUGAAAGCUGCGGAUUUCCAGCGGCCGGAUUGGGACCGGUUGGCAGGGCGGCCUUUGUAGUCGACAUUUCCUUCGACGACGACAAUGUUGUUUGGUAACGUCGGAGUGUCGCUGGCGUCGGAAAGGUUGGCCUGCGGGGCUGUAUAGAUUGCCAUGCGUGGAGUGGAGUAACUGUGCCGAACUCACCGAACUUUGGCUUCAGUUUCUACGUUGAAGCUUGUCAGGAACACUAGGUAAAGCGACGUAGCUUUGGGGAAUGCGGAGUCGUUUUGAAGGCAGCUCAGACUUCUGGCACAUACGGUGUCGUUGCACUUAAGAAGUUAGUUGGGAAUUCUGUUGCAGUUUGUUAUAGUUAGUUGCAUGGUUAGUUGUCAGCUUCAGUCACGUUGCAUGGAGGUGUAGGAAAUUUCUAUAAAUAGCCAAGUAUAGGAAAGGCUUGGCAGACAAGAUUCAUUACAGAAAUAUUCUCAAUAAGAUUUCCCUUACUUCCCUCAUUUUCUCUCAAUUCAUGUUCUUCCCUUCCUAUUUCCCUCUUAUUAUUUCUUCUUCUGAGAAAUUAUCAGGUUAAAUCCUGACAAGUGGUAAUCAAAGCCUUCAAUCCUCGGUGCAACUUAACUGCAAAUUCAAAUGGCAGACGGUACCAGACUCAAGAAUCUAGAUGAACAGCUCCGGAAACUUGAGACUAGGGUUCAGAUUCAAGUAGAUUCCCUGCAAACGGAGUUACAAGACGCUCGAACGCACGUAGAUACCAAAAUGGACGAGCUCGACAAGAAAAUUGACGCGUUAAUGGCAGGAAUGGAGACGAAGUUGACUUCAUUUCUGCAGGCUCUCAACAGAGACAGAACAACAGCAACUGGUGAUUCGCCUCCCCCAGAGAAGAAUCCUCUACUGACCAAUCCACAUGCCAGAUGCAGAGACUGGGGAGAUCAGUCAGCAGCAGGCAAGGAGCGUAAGGUUACGAUCCCAAGCUUACCUAAAGUAGAACUUCCUUUUUUUGAAGGGGACAGACCUCAGGAAUGGAUCAGGAAAUGUGAGAAGUAUUUUCUGGUUCAUCAACUUCCUGAGGAUCAGAAAUUGGAAGUAGUGGAGAUGUAUUUGGUAGGGAAAGCCGAAAUAUGGUUUCAAGGAAUUAAAAGGAGCAAGGGACGAACCUCUUGGGAAGGAUUCUGUCAACUAGUCAACAGGAGAUUUGGAGACAGAGAGAGGAGAGACGAAGUGGAGGAAUUCAACAAGCUUCACCAAACCACUAGUGUCAAGGACUACCAAGAGAAAUUUGAGGAACUGAGUUCCUUGAUGUUAAUCAGAGAUCCUCACCUAUCUGAAUCCUACUUUGUUUCCAGCUUCAUCAGCGGUAUUAAGGAAGAGAUCAAGCCUAUGGUUAAAAUGUUGAAACCUGCUACCUUACUUGAGGCCUUCGAGAUUGCAGAAUGGCAGGAACAGUUAUUGGCAUUCAAUGGGAGGAAUACCAGAAACUUUAGGACUUGGGAGCCUGGGGAAAGCUCCAAGUCCCACAGUGCUACCGUUGUAACCAAACCAGGGGGGAAAAUUUCAGAACAAGUUGGCCAAAGGAAGUGGACUCCAGAGAGUACAAACCAGGAACAUAGGAAGAUCUCCCCUCAGGAGAUCUUACGCAGGAAAAACAAUCACCUGUGCUUCAAGUGUGGGGAGAGAUUCAGCCCAGGUCACCAGUGCAAAUACAGACACUUAAAUUUCAUUCUAGAAGAGGAUGAGGAAACUGAAUUUUUGGAUGCCAUUGGGGAGCAGGAUGAGCAGACUGGCCAUCCAGGGCAAUCCGUGGAUAUAUCUCUACAUGCAUUAACAGCCUCUAUCAAGAGAAAAACCCUCAAAUUGCAAGGGGUGUUGAAGGGACAAACGGUAUCUAUUCUGGUGGAUACUGGUAGCACUAACAGUUUUCUGAAUGCAGCUUUACUGGAGACCAUGGAGCUAAGGACAGCUAGUAUGACACCCUUAAAGGCAACCAUUGCUGAUGGAACCACUAUUUCCAGUGAAUUGUUCUGUCCACAUGUAACCUGGAGUAUCCAGGGGUACAACUUUAAUUUUCCUUUGAUAGUCAUGGGACUGGGAACGUGGGAUCUCAUACUUGGAGUGGAUUGGAUGGUGCAGUACAGCCCUAUCACUUUUGAUUUCCAACAGCUGUUGAUCAAGCUAUCAGAAGAAGGGGGCGAGAUGGUAUUGGAAGGGGUAGCUGAGCAACCUUCAAUGAAGCUUAUCAGAGGUAAAGCAGUAAGGAAAUUCAUGCAGCAGAAGCACAGGACCAGGCCAACCGUCUGCUCUGUGUCUGAGGGAGGUAACUUGAAUGGCGUAAGUCCACUUCCCAGUGAGAUUUCUGAAUUAUUGCAUGAGUUCUCAGAUGUGUUUGUUGAGCCUACACAGUUACCACCAGAACGAGCACAUGACCACACCAUCCCACUGAAACCAGAUGCCCAGCCUUUUAAACUCAGACCCUAUAGGUACCCACAUUCCCAGAAAACAGAGAUCGAAAACCAAGUCUCAAACAUGCUUCAAACUGGCAUCAUUAAGCCUAGUACCAGUCCAUUCUCUUCCCCUGUCUUACUGGUCAAGAAGAAGGAAGGCACCUGGCGUUUCUGUGUAGACUAUAGGUACCUAAAUGACCUUACCAUUAAAGACAGAUAUCCCAUUCCAAACAUUGAGGAGCUCUUAGAUGAAUUGUUUGGCUCCAAGUUUUUCAGUAAAAUCGACCUCAGGUCAGGAUAUCACCAAAUCAGAGUCAAAGCCUGUGACAUUCAUAAAACAGCUUUCCAAACACACCAAGGCCACUAUGAAUUCCUAGUGAUGCCCUUUGGCCUGACUAAUGCGCCUGCAUCUUUCCAAGCUCUCAUGAAUGAAAUUUUUCAGCCAUAUCUUAGAAAAUUUAUCCUUGUCUUCUUUGAUGAUAUACUAGUCUAUAGCCCGGAUUUACAAUCCCAUGCUAACCAUUUGAGAACCGUGUUAAGAAUUUUGAAAUCUCACCAGCUGUAUGCCAAGAUGUCUAAGUGUAUGUUUGCUCAGCUGAGAGUGGAAUACUUGGGCCAUGUCAUAUCCUACAAUGGGGUUGAGAUGGAUGCUGCGAAGGUGGAGUGCAUUAGAGCAUGGCCAGUACCUGCAACUGUGAAAGCCUUGAGAGGUUUUUUAGGCCUUACAGGUUAUUACAGGAGGUUUGUACAAGGCUAUGGGCAAAUCUGCAAGCCUUUGACUGAGUUGUUGAGGAAAGACUCUUUUUGUUGGACUGAAUCAGCUGCUGAAGCUUUCCAGAACCUUAAGGAUAUCAUGAGCACUACUCCUGUGCUCAGGAUGCCUGAUUUUACUAAACCGUUCGUAGUAGAGACUGAUGCCUGUAGUCGAGGCAUUGGUGCCGUGUUAAUGCAGGAGGGACAGCCUAUAGCAUAUCUCAGUAAGGCUUUAAGUCCUAAGAAUUUAGGACUGUCCAUAUACGAAAAGGAGCUGCUAGCAGUUGUGAUGGCAGUGACGAAAUGGAAACAUUACUUGCUGGGGUACCACUUUGUUAUUAAGACUGACCAUCAGAGUCUGAGGUUUCUGCUAGAGCAAAGGUUGAACACUCCAUUACAGCACAAGUGUUUGACAAAGCUCCUAGGCUUGGAUUACGAAAUUCAGUACAAAAAGGGGGCUGAAAACAAAGCUGCUGAUGCAUUGUCUAGGAAGGGGUUUCCAGAGGAAGACUCUUCAGGUGAAAUUUGCGCCAUCACUUGUGUCAAACCCCAAUGGCUGACAGAUGUAUCUGAAAGUUAUGAAGGUGACUCAGCAUGUCAGGACAGAAUUGCCCAAUUACUGGUCGACCCCACUUCGGUUACUGAUUAUGAGUACGCAGAUGGAGUUCUGAGGUUCAGGAAAAAGAUUUAUGUGGGGAGUCAUGGUGAUCUGAGGCAUCAAGUCAUUCAACAGCUACACUGUUCUGCAGUAGGGGGUCAUUCUGGACAGUUGGGAUGUUUUAAGAGGCUAGGUGCAGUUUUCUAUUGGCCUCGGAUGCGGAAGGAUGUAGCUGACUUUGUCAAACAGUGCGAUGUUUGCCAAAGGAACAAACAUGAGAAUGUUCCCUAUCCUGGGUUGUUGCAGCCCCUACCAGUGCCUAACCAAGCGUGGUCUCAGAUUAGUAUGGAUUUCAUAGAGAGUUUACCUCUCUCUGAAGGUACCGACACUAUACUGGUGGUGGUAGACAGGUUGACAAAAUUGUCCCAUUUCAUUCCUCUUAAACACCCUUUCUCAGCAGUAGAGGUUGCCAAACUGUUCCUCACACACGUCUUCAGAUUGCAUGGGCUACCAGAGGUUAUAGUUUCAGACCGAGACAAGCUUUUUACCAGCCUUUUCUGGCAGGAAUUAUUUCGACUAGUUGGUACUCGAUUGAACUUCAGCUCAGCUUACCAUCCACAAACAGAUGGUCAGAGUGAGCGUGUCAACCAGUGUUUGGAAACAUAUCUGAGAUGUAUGACUAGUGACAGGCCUCAGAAGUGGAAAUCCUGGCUACCUUUGGCUGAGUGGUGGUACAACACAAAUUACCACACUAGCCUUCAAACGACCCCCUUUGAGGCCCUUUAUGGUUAUAAGCCUAAUCAUCUACCCUUGGGCUUCAUUUCUGAUACCAUUGUCCCUGCAGCUAGUGACCUUGUCAGGGAUAGGCAGGCUGUCUUACAGAUUCUUCGCCAGAAUUUGACGCAGGCGCAGCAACGCAUGAAGUAUUUUGCGGAUAGAAAGAGGAGUGAACGAGCUCUGGAGGUUGGUGAUAUGGUCUACCUGAAGCUUCAACCUUAUCGACAGCAGUCAGUAGAAGUGAGGCGUUCCUUGAAACUUGCCUCCAAGUACUAUGGUCCCUUCCCUGUCAUUGCUCACAUUGGGGAAGUAGCUUACCGACUGGAAUUGCCACAGGGAUCCCGAAUUCAUCCAGUGUUCCACAUUUCGAUGCUUAAAAAGAAGGUAGGAGGUUCUCAGGAGGUCAUGCCUGCACUACCACUGGUUGGUCCUGAUGAUCAAAUUCAGGUUGCUCCGGAAAUGGUUCUCAAACGAAGGGCUAUUCUGCGAAAUCAAUUACCUGUGUCACAGGUUCUGAUCAAGUGGAUUAACCUGGGGUUCGAGGAAGCCACCUGGGAGGAUCUCGACUUCAUCAAGAACCAGUUUCCAGAAUUCCAUCCUUGAGGACAAGAAUGCGCUAAAGGGAAGGGUAUUGUCAGGAACACUAGGUAAAGCGACGUAGCUUUGGGGAAUGCGGAGUCGUUUUGAAGGCAGCUCAGACUUCUGGCACAUACGGUGUCGUUGCACUUAAGAAGUUAGUUGGGAAUUCUGUUGCAGUUUGUUAUAGUUAGUUGCAUGGUUAGUUGUCAGCUUCAGUCACGUUGCAUGGAGGUGUAGGAAAUUUCUAUAAAUAGCCAAGUAUAGGAAAGGCUUGGCAGACAAGAUUCAUUACAGAAAUAUUCUCAAUAAGAUUUCCCUUACUUCCCUCAUUUUCUCUCAAUUCAUGUUCUUCCCUUCCUAUUUCCCUCUUAUUAUUUCUUCUUCUGAGAAAUUAUCAGGUUAAAUCCUGACAAAGCUCUAAUUGUUGGCUCGGACUGGGUUUAUUAUUGAGUAGGCUAAGAUACACCUGCACGUUAACGAACAACGGUCAAAUCUAUCGGUAUUUUGGUGGCAGUGGCACUAAUUAUUGGUUGGACUAAUAACAGGAGAUUGUUGUUUUUUUUUUCCUUGUCAAAAUAAUAACAGGAGAUUCCACCGAUGCUGUGGUGUUAUACAGUAAGAUUAAAAUCAUCGUUGAACGAUGAAAUAAGUGUUUUACACCCUUGAAUUUUAAUAAUUUCAAAUAUUUAAAAUGUAAACUGCUAUCAUCAUCGUUGAGGGAAUGGUUUCUCUAAAGAAAUUAUAGAAUUUUCUUAAUUUUUUUUUAUACUAGUGAUGGAUCACGUUCUUCGGACGUGAACAUGAUGCUUUUAGAUUUUUUUUAAAAAAAAAAAUUUAAAAAUCAAUUGUUUUGAAAUAAUAAAUGUAAUUGAGACAAAAACAUGUGAUAUUUAAUAUUUCUAUUUUUUUUUUCUAAACUCGGUUUGCCAUAACCAACAUAAUUGCAGAAGCAAUAAAAGCAUUCUCUGUCCCAAAAGCACUUUUAUUUUGUAAUAGUAUCAAUAUUUUUAAUCUUUUAUUUUUAACCCUCCUACAUUUAAAAAUUAUAUAUAAUCCUCUCAUGGUUUGGGUUAAUGUAUUACCAUUAGUUUUUUGUUAAAAUUAAUGGUCAAUAGUAAAAAAUCAAAAUCAAAUUAAUAAAUUGACAAAUUUAUCCUUUCAUUACUUCUUUUUUCCUCCAAAUAUAAAAAAAAAAAGAAAUUAAAAAAAUAGAUAACUAAGAACUAGAAAAUACCAUUAAAGAUUUGGUUUAAAAACCUAUAGUAAUAUUUGCAGUCAAAAAAAUUUUCUAUUUUUAUUUAUUUAUUUUAUAUUUCCCUUCCAUCUUUUUUGUUUCUUAUUUCCUCUCCAUCUUUUUGGCAUUUGGAGAAAAUUAAGAUUUAUAGGCCAUAGUAUAGAUUUUCAAAAUCAUCUUUUUUCUUAUAAUAACAACAGAGAAAGGGAGGGAAAGAAGGAAAAGGAAAAAAGAAAAAAAGAAAGAAAGUAGUACAAGAGUGAAUUUGUCAAUUUAUUAGUUUGAUUUUGACUUUUUACUAUUAAUCGCUAGUUUUAACGGAAAAACUAAUGAUGAUAUUUGACCUAAGGAAGUUAUCUAAGAUUUUUAAUUCAUAGGAAGAUUAUCUAGUAGAGCACCAAAUCACAGGGGAUAAAAGAUAAUUUAUCCAAAAGUAAAUAACUAACUUGUUUUUGAUAUUAUUGUACUAUGGUUAGGAUUUCAAUCUUUUAUGAUGGUCACUUCACCUGUAAUGAAAUAAGCGGAUUUCCAACGGCCAGAUUUGGAUCGGUUAACAGGGAGGCCUUUGUAGUCAACAUUUGCUUGGGCGACGUCGUCUGGUAAUGCUGGAGCUUCGAUCGCGUCGGAAAGGUUGCCCUCUGUGGCUGUGGAGGCCCAUAUGUGAAGUAGAGCAACCGUGCUCAGCUAGCUAAGAUCACUAGACUUGGGAACUUGGGUUUAGUUUCAAACGCGCAAGCUAUUAUUGUUGACGGUUGAAAAUAUUUAGGGAUUAUUUGAGAAACCUCCCUUGAGGUUUCUAACAGUCUCACUCCCUUCCCUUAAGAUUUCAAAAAUAUCAGAGACCUCCCCUAAUAGAAUAUUGGGUCUCAAUUCUUACAUCAUCAUGAGUGAAAUGACUCAAAUACCCACAUAACUUAGCAAAUAGUUUGCAAUUAUUUGGACAAAUUUACUUAAGUUAAUUAUAAAUAUGAUUAAUGUAGUUGACGACAAUUUAGAAGUGCAAUAUGGACCUAUUCUUCCCUUUGCAUUGCUAAAUGUCUUCCUUCUCUUUGGUUACUCACAUCUUCCUCUUCAGAACCUUCAUAUUAUUCAAAAAAUCUAUAAUUUGUGCAGCAAAAGUACCGCUUGUGUAGAUUCCAUUCACUCUCAAAAAUUUUAAUUCUCGCUUGGCGAUUACAUCAACAAUACCUGUUUCUAAUUGUAAAUGAUGUAGGUGAAUUCCAAAAUUCACCUCUAUUGCUUCAACUGGCAAUUUAUGUGUGUGUUUGUUGCUACUACAAUUGCAUACUUCAUUUGCUGCUAUUACUUUUAACUCAUCCAACACCAAGCACUUUAAUUGCAUAGAGGCUGAUACACAGAGUCCUAUCUUGCUGCUUCAUUUUGCUCUUAUAAAUAGUUUGUCGAAAUGGCCAUUGCACGUAGAUGUUAAAAAUGACAAGCAGAAACAACCGUUGGUUUCCACGUGUCAAACUGAAGUUCAAACCUUCCUUGAGCCAUUAGUUCCACUUACAAUCCUGAACCUUCAUUCUUGUUAAAUUGUCCAAGUAUUGUUCAUAUGAAAUUAUCUCACUAAUGCAAGACUUGAGGGCAUUUGUGGUAUCAGGCCAUGUUCUCUCUCCAAACCUCAAUUUUUUAUUGUUUCUCUUUUUGAAUUGGGUUGGAUUUGAUACUACCUAUUCACUUUUAGGGGAAGUCUUUGAUAUUUAGAAAACCUUAGGAGAGGACAGUGAGACUGUUAGAAACCUUAAGGGAAGUUUUUGAAAUUUUCCCAAAUAUUUAUUGAGUAGGUAAGAUACUCAGACAUGGUAACGAGCAACGCUAAAAUUUAGGGUAAAAUACCCAAAAAAAAAAAACUCUUUGUGGGUUGUUGAAUGUUCAAUUUAAUUCUUUCUGAUUUGGAAACCUACACAUAGUUCAUUGUGAUUUCGACUAAAUUGAAAAUUGGACGGAAGACAUCCAAUUUGAUGAUUGUGCAUGAAAUGUCAAUAUUGCCCCUACAAUACAUGAAAUGCUUUCCGUUCAAUUUUCAAUUUAGUCAAAACUACCCGGAGCUAUAGUGUAAAUCUUCAAAUCGUAAGGAAUUAAAUUGAACAUUCGGCAAAUCACAGUGAGUUCAUUUAGAUAGGGGCAAUAUUGAAAUUUCAUAUACAACCAUUAGAUUGAAUGCUUUUUGUCUAAUUUUCAAUUUAGUUGAAACCAUAGAAAGUUAUAGCGCAGAUUUUUAAACCAGAGAGAGUUAAAUUGAACAGUUGACAAAUUACAGGGAGUAUUUUGGUGGCAGCAUUUCUAGUUUGGGAGCAUCACGGAAGUUACAGACAAUUUCUAGCCACUCAUUCUAAUUUGGGUGCCCGGACUAGUAGCUUGUCCGGGAGCAAUCGUCUUGGUUAUUUCACAUUGUCUUCUCUUUGCCCUUUUCUUUUACAUUUUACAUGUUCCCAACUCUAUAAUUCUUUGCCCUGCCCAUCUCUACUCUGCUCCAAUUCCAUUCUCCUUAAUUAAGAGAAACUGGGAGUCAGGCAACAAAAAGGAGCAGAUAGGUAGAAUCUAGUGGAGGAAAAAAAAAAAUUCUAGAUCUUUGAAUAAUUAAGUAUAAUUAACCAACUACUCUUAUCCAACUACUUUAAGAGUAGUUGGCUAGCAAGAAGAGUUUCAAGACUGUCCAUAGGUGUAGGUCAAUUGGUCAAAUCUUUUGACCUGCAUUCUUGUUAAGGAUUUUCUGAAAAUUUCACAAGUAGGUACAAAGAUACUCGUUUGGUCCGGUAGCGGUUUAGUUUCUUCCGAAUUCUCCAUCGAUCCCUUUGAAAAACUCUCUUUGGAUAUAGGUCAAUGAAUCGAAUCUCUUGAUCUGCAUUCUUAUCCAAGAUUUUCUGAAGAUUUCACUAGCAGGUGCAAAGACAUUCGUUUGGUACGAUAAAGGUUCAAUCCCCUCUGAAUUCUUCAUUGACUCCCUUGGAUCCAUCACUUCCUCUUAAUGUAAAGUAGAAAUAGGUGUCAAAUAAAAUUUCUCAUGUUUGGAAAAAAUGAAUAAUUAAGUAUAAUCAAGGAGCUAAAUUUGCUAAAUUAAUAAAACUGUCUUGAUAAGCGUAUGUGAGUGUGAAACUCACAGCAUGUGGCAUCCUAUUGCUGUUCCUCAGGAUAAUGGUUAGCCUUAACAAACUAACACUUGACAUCAAUGAAAAUUCUACAAAAUGGUAAGAGAUUUCCGCCAUUUGAUGGUAAAAGUCACGUCGAUUGAUAUAUUGAGGACUUGUAAUUGAACACGGAACUCAAUGACAUCGAUGGCAUAGAUUUUGAGGUGACACUGCCCCAAUUGCACAAUGGUACCGGUACAAGUUGCAAUAUUGCAGAUCCUAAAGUAGAAGAAAUGGAAAACAAAAUAUUAAGGAAUAGCUUUGACUGAAAAAGGUAAUUAACAGGCCUAAUGAUUAGACAACUUGUCAAGUUCAGUAGGAAUGCAUCGCAACUUAAUGCAUGACAACUUAAUUGGGCCGAAUCCAUCCCACAAAGAUUGUGGAGUGGUUCUGGUUUGAGGUUCUCACCCGUAUUUCUAGUCACCAAUUAACUGGAUAAUGUUGAUUUGUAGACUCCACCUUAAAUUGUACUUUGUAUCAGAAUUUCGAUUACCUUUGAAUGUUAGUGAUGGGAUGAAGUUUUUUAUCUUUUUUCUUUUGAUAAAAACUAUUGGGAUGAAUUUUCUAAAGCAAUUGAGAGGAAAUUAAGUUGAUUUAUCAUGUAGUUAGUGAACGCAUUAGAGGAUGAUUAAGAAAAGGUACAAUUAGUUAUCAGCAGAAAAGGAAUGCAAAAUUUUGUUAUUUUGCAGAAGAUAAUUAGUGGUAGAUAUGCCUUGAAAAAAAUCCAAGUUAACAAAUACUGAAAAGAGAUUAUUAAUUAGAAGAGAAACUUAUUGAAACUGUUUCCACAUUGUUAUGCUUAAUUUGUAACAAAUGAAAGUGAGUAAUCGGGAUAAUUUGAGUUUGUGGUCAAUAGGAUCUAUUGUUUAAUAUGUUACGUUACUUGUUGCAUUUAUCUAUUAUAUGGUAAUUUGCGCUCAUAAUUCUGAUUUGGAAAAUAAAAGUAAAUGGAGAACAAAAUAUGCCAUUGAAUGAGUAAGAACUUCUAAAUUCUGUGACCUUGAAAUGUGCAAAACACUUUAUUCUUACAAAGUAACCCACAGAGUAAUUUUUCUAAGUGAAAUUUCAAUAGACAUAUUGGUAAAUUUAGUAAUGUUGGAAGAAGUUCAAUAUCCCCACCAUCCUGUGAUACUAAGUAGGCUUUGACACAAGAUUUGACGUCAGCCUCGUAUAAUACGCCAACAAUCUCUCAGGGUCAGGAAGAUUUUCUUUGAUGAUGGGCUCUUCCUUGAAAUUCUUGACCCAUGCGUGCAAGCUUGGUAAACGACUUGGUUCCAAAACCUUGAUCCCCACCAACUGUUCCAUGGGUUGAAUCCAACAGGCAAACCAGGCAAAUAUCAAGUCCACCAUAUUGAUCGAGUUGCCACCAAAAAACUUCUUGUCCCCAAGAGCUUGCUCUUCAAUAAUUUUCAGAAGGUCAAACAUUUGUUCUGCUGCCUCUUUCUUGCCAUCUCCUCCUCCCCAGAAGAGGGAUCUAACAGAACUACGUCCCUAAAUCAUGAUAAUUUUUUCAAAUCAUCAGAAGUUAGUUAAGCUAAUAUUAUUUUAAGUAAAAGAUUAACAUGAUCCUUUUUUUUUUUAAAUAAGAGCUUGCCCCAAAGCUAUCCAAUUCAAUGUUUUCUACAAUGUAAUCCUAUUCAAACCUGCUUGCUUGAAAAGCCAGAAGAUAAAAGGCUAUCUAGGAGUUUUGCGAGGAUGAGAUUACCUUGUCCGUUGCAAAAUUUAUCCAAAACCGAGCUACAGAUCUCUCAUAGGGAUCUUUUGGCAGCAGUGGGUUAUGGGGCCACACCUCUUCAAUAUAUUCAAGGAUUACAAGGGACUCAGAAAUGGGUUUUCCAGCAUGAACCAGCACGGGAACUUUCUCGUAAACUGGAUUGUAACGUAACAGCAACUCACUCUUGUUAGCCAGGUCUUCUUCUAUGUAAUCAUACUCGAUGCCCUUCAAUUUCAGUGCCCAUAUCACCCGAUAAACAAAGGGGCUUGGCCAAAAUCCAUGAAGCUUCACUUCGUUGUCCAUUUGAUCUUCUAGGGGAAUGGAGUGCCAGGCUUAAUUUUUCUUUAUAGGAGCAGUGAUAGACUAAUAAUAAUGCAUUUCAAUGUCAAGUUGUUUUUAAUAUUAUAAUAAAUGAUUGCUUUUCUUGCAAUAUUUCUAGUUUAGUCAGCAAUGGCGGCCUAACAUAGUCAACAAAGAUGAGGGUAACGAAAAAGCCAAAAGAUAAUCUUUGUUUAUACAGUCAUUGGAAGGUUCCAAAGACCAAUGUGUAAAGAUGAUUUGAUUCCUUAGAGGGGCAAUUCAAACAGUACUUUGAGGCAGACAUGUAAAGCCAUGUUUGUUCAAUUGUCACAACUAGCAAUGCCAAAAUUGAUUUCCACAGGUGAAUGAGUCAAUAAAGAUGGUAAGAUUGAGCUGCAAAAAGACAAAACAAGGUUCAAUGACGAAUCACGGACCAACAAAACCAAGGAAAAGGAAGGAAAUUCAAACAAUGCCCCUUUUGGGGCUCUUUAACCGCUAUCAGACUCGCUGGUUAUUGAGCAUUAAAAAUUUCAGCACAGUUUCAACUACCCCUCAAAAGUCUAACUCCAUCCUGCAAUCAAAGGGCAAUUAGCAGCUCAUCUUUGCCCUCUCCAUUGUGAAGCCCAAACAACUGAUAAAAGAUUGCGAAAAUCAAUGAACCCUUAGAACAAGAAAUGCUUCCGUGAAAUUGCAAACGAGCUGCACUGCAUUUGGGAUGACAACUUAAUUUUGACUGUAGCAAUUCAACCUCUCAGAUUUUUUGUCUACAAGUAACUUACCAUUGAUCCUGCUGGAGAGAUUGACUCCCAAUUUUUCCUGCAGUGUUCCUAAUUUGUAUCCCUUUUAGAAAACGCCAGCGAGAGUUCCUCAACUAUAGACAAAGGAUUGAGCAAAAUACAUGCAGGCAGUGAAUGCUAACAUGCAAAGUGCAGCAAGAAACCAAUAAGAGUAAUCCAAAUGUGCCCGAUUCAAGAAGUCUGCAAACCAACCGCCUUGAUCCCCUCCACUUGUGGCUUUCUGAAUGACACAGAUUAGAAAACUACUUAGGAAACUCCCUACUCCAAAGAUACUGAGGUAUAGAGACAUACCUAUACUUCUCAAGUCACCAGGAACCUGAUCAUAGAAAAACUCUCGUAAACCAACCAUUGUAAAUACUUCUACAAUCCCAAACAACAUAUAUUGAGGAGUCAACCAGAAUACGCUCAUUGGAACUGUAGCAUCUGGCAAAUGAACCAGCCCAUAUUCAAGAGCAGUUUCAAGACGUUACCUCUCAACUAAAGCAGCAAUCACCAUGUAAACCACAGAUAAUAAUAGGCCAAGCCCAAUUCUUUGACUUGAAGCGCUUCUAUACCCGAAGGUUUCGCAGUAAUAACUCUGGCAACAAGGACCAAAACCCGGUCAUAGAUAGGAAUGAAGAUGACAACUGAAACGUUGAUGAAAGAUUGUAGUGCAGCAGACGGUGCUUCAAAACCUGAGCCAAGUGAUCUGAAUCCUUUCUUGGUGAGGUGAAUGCUUGAACAAAUAUUACAGCAUAAGACAAACAUGUAAACCAUAUCAGAAUCAGUCUGAAAAUUGCUUUUGCAUCUUCAAGCUCACUUGUCAUGCAAACUUCCCCCUCAUCCUUGGAACAAUCAGGUGUGCAAGCAGUGCUUUGUUAAGAAACCUAUACCAGAACUCAGAUUCAGUGACGGUGCAAAUGAAAAUUUUAGUACUUUGCAGACAAAGAGCAUCUCAACACUAGGAUAUUUAAGGAAAAUUACUACUUCCCUUAGUGAACAUUUAAGGAAAAUUUCUCUCUCUCUCUCUCUCUCAACAAGACAAAAUCACCACGCUUCAGCAGAAAGGUCAAUUUGAAACAAGAAAAAAGUCAAGUAUGACUACAACUCAAAAUAGACAUAUUGCUAGAGGGUCUUCCUCUAUGUUUCAACUUCCAGAUGUUCUCCUUCUGAGUUCUUGUUGUAUGAGAUCAAACAACUUUAUCGAGAAAAUUAACUAUAACAUAAUCAGGUGAAAAGUACUCAUUGCAACUGCAUAUAUGGUAGGUAAUAACCAGACAUUUUAGCCUGCUUACUUGAAUUGUUGAGAACCUUGAUGAGACAGUGUUUCCCAAAUUUGCUCUUCACUCGGAACUCAACUUCGCCAGUUCCUAGCAGCUUUAACAACCCCAGAACCAAUUCCCACGAAUGGGUUUUUCUCAUCACUUUUGCUGCUAAAUCUGUAGGUCGUAGUUUGCAGCAAGAAAUUGGCUAGUGCAAAUCCCAUAACAUGGAUUUUGAUAAAUUUAAAGUUUAGCAAGUACCCCUAAUUAUUUUAUUUGAGGGGAUGCAAUACGUAAGUUUUGUCGUUUGAGGGGCACAAACUAUUAAACUAUAAUUAAAGUAAGAUACAAUUAGUAAUAAUUUUAAACUACAAAAGAGGAUUUUAAAUAUUUGCGGAGAACAAUUGUCCACCGUGAAAUGUUUAUAGCUCCACGAUUAUAAUUGGAAAAACUUUGCUGUGGCACAAUAUGACAGGUGCUGUGAAGCUGUGAUAACAUAUCAAUUGACAAAACAUACAGCAUAGUAAAUUCGAGCAUCUUUUCAAGCACAUUAAAAGUUAAAAAAUCGCAUCCCAAAUAAAAGAAAAGUAAAGAAGGCGCCUUGCAAAGAUAGAGCACAAAGCACAACUACGGAGUUACUGUUAAACAGCAGUAGAAAGUUCAAGUUCAACUAACCAUGAUAUACAGCAAUGAAGAGAUUAUGACGGUCCAAUAUCGACCCAGAAACGACUCGGCGACGAAUGCACCCAAGAGCGGCAAAAGCAACGCUGUACCGGACCAAGCAUUCACGUUCUCCGCUGCUGUAGCAGCGGACUGGCCGAGUGGCCCGGUCAAGUAACUGAUCAAAUUCGAACUUAUUCCGUGAUGAGCAAACCUCUCUGCCAUCGCCAUACCUGCAUUAAAACAAAUAAUUAACCUGCAGUAUUUCAUUUUAUCAUAGUACGGUGAGGAUGUUAAUACUUUAUGAUGGUCACUUCACCUAUGAUGAAAGCUGCGGAUUUCCAGCGGCCGGAUUUGGACCGGUUGGCAGGGCGGCCUUUGUAGUCAACAUUUCCUUCGACGACGACAAUAGUAACGUCGGAGUGUCGAUGGCGUCGGAAAGGUUGGCCUGCGGGGCUGUAGAGAUUGCCAUGCGUGGAGUGGAGUAACUGUGCCGAACUCACUGGUCAAGUUCAGUAGGAGUGCAUGUCAACUUAAUUGGCCCGAGCGUUGUUGGGAUGAAGUUUUUUCUUUUUUCUUUUGGUAAAAACUAUUGGGAUGAAUUUCUAAAGCAAUUGAGAGGAAAUUAAGUUGAUUUAUCAUGUAGUUAGUGAACGCAUUAGAGGAUGAUUAAGAAAAGGUGCAAUUAGUUAUCAGCCGAAAGGGAAUGUAAAAUUUUGUAAAUUUGCAGAAGAUAAUUAGUGGUAGAUAUGCCUUGAAAGAAAUCCAAGUUAACAAAUAUUGAAAAGAGAUUAUUAAUUAGAAGAGAAGCUUAUUGAAACUGUUUCCACAUUGUUAUGCUUAAUUUGUAACAAAUGACAGUGAGUAAUUUGAGUUUGUGGUCAAUAGGAUCUAUUGUUUAAUAUGUUACGUUACUUGUUGCAUUUAUCUAUUAUAUGGUAAUUUGCGCUCAUAAUUCUGAUUUGGAAAAUAAAAGUAAAUGGAGAACAAAAUAUGCCAUUGAAUGAGUAAGAUCGGUGAAGAUUGUCAUGCAUAAUUAAAAAGGUAUUUGCUAACAUAUUAGCAAAAUCCAUUUAACAUGGAUUUAAUUUAUAUGUGUUUCUAAAUUAUCUAGUGCCAAUUUGUAAAAAUCUAACCACUGUCAUCUCUUUAGAAUGAAGAAAAAUAUUUUUUAGUUCCCUAAAAUCACCUAAAAUAAAAAUUUAAACAUAAAUUCGAGUAAUUUUUUUUUCUUGCAGGGUAAGAUUAAAAAGUAGAGAACAAGAAGGGAGAUUUGAAUCCAAGACUUCUAAAUUCUGCAACCUGAAGACGUGCAAAACACUUUAUUCUUACAAAGCAACUCUGAGAACCACAUAGAGUAAUUUUUCUAAGUGAAAUUUCAAUAGACAUAUCGGUAAAUUUAGUAAUGUUGGAAGAAGUUCAAUAUCCCAACCAGCUAGUAAGGAUACCAUCCUGUGAUACUAAUUAGGAUUUGACCUUAUCCUCGUAUAAUGCUCCAACAUUCUCUCAGU
RNAcentral lists this long non-coding RNA (31231 nucleotides) under Coffea arabica (coffee). RNAcentral's name for it is "long non-coding RNA (CARA_LNC007079)". Lineage: Eukaryota; Viridiplantae; Streptophyta; Magnoliopsida; Gentianales; Rubiaceae. The record is from RNAcentral.